This 375-nucleotide ribosomal RNA is filed under the name uncultured bacterium. RNAcentral's name for it is "bacterial SSU rRNA". It matches the Rfam family "Bacterial small subunit ribosomal RNA", at positions 524 to 898 of the family's 1533-position model. The record is from RNAcentral.
UACGGAGGGUGCAAGCGUUAAUCGGAAUUACUGGGCGUAAAGCGCACGCAGGCGGUCUGUCAAGUCGAAUGUGAAAUCCCCGGGCUCAACCUGGGAACUGCAUUCGAAACUGGCAGGCUAGAGUCUUGUAGAGGGGGGUAGAAUUCCAGGUGUAGCGGUGAAAUGCGUAGAGAUCUGGAGGAAGACCGGUGGCGAAGGCGGCCCCCUGGACAAAGACUGACGCUCAGGUGCGAAAGCGUGGGGAGCAAACAGGAUUAGAUACCCUGGUAGUCCACGCCGUAAACGAUGUCGAUUUGGAGGUUGUGCCCUUGAGGCGUGGCUUCCGGAGCUAACGCGUUAACUCGACCGCCUGGGGAGUACGGCCGCAAGGUUAAA